This 253-nucleotide ribosomal RNA is filed under the name uncultured bacterium. Its description in RNAcentral is "partial 16S ribosomal RNA". It matches the Rfam family "Bacterial small subunit ribosomal RNA", at positions 524 to 776 of the family's 1533-position model. The record is from RNAcentral.
UACGUAGGGGGCAAGCGUUGUCCGGAUUUACUGGGUGUAAAGGGGGCGCAGACGGCGAUGCAAGCCAGGAGUGAAAGCCCGGGGCCCAACCCCGGGACUGCUCUUGGAACUGCGUGGCUGGAGUGCAGGAGGGGCAGGCGGAAUUCCUGGUGUAGCGGUGAAAUGCGUAGAUAUCAGGAGGAACACCGGUGGCGAAGGCGGCCUGCUGGACUGCAACUGACGUUGAGGCCCGAAAGCGUGGGGAGCAAACAGG